This is a small nuclear RNA of 199 nucleotides. Its record names the gene U2. It matches the Rfam family "U2 spliceosomal RNA". Rfam says of the family: U2 is a small nuclear RNA (snRNA) component of the spliceosome (involved in pre-mRNA splicing). Complementary binding between U2 snRNA (in an area lying towards the 5' end but 3' to hairpin I) and the branchpoint sequence (BPS) of the intron results the bulging out of an unpaired adenosine, on the BPS, which initiates a nucleophilic attack at the intronic 5' splice site, thus starting the first of two transesterification reactions that mediate splicing. The record is from Ensembl.
GCCCCUCGGGGGCCUUUGGGCUCCAGUCAUUUAUAUUGAACCCACACCGCUGCAGCUGAGAGCGCGUCACGUCUACAUAUUAAGCAGAUUUUUAGAACAGGGAGUCGGCAAAGGGGCUUGGUCAAGCAUCUUGGACAAGCUCCUUCCGCUCCACGCAUUGACCCAGUAUUGCAGUGCCUCUGGGAGCGGUGCAGGGUGG